ACAAUGGAGAGUUUGAUCCUGGCUCAGGAUGAACGCUAGCGGCAGGCCUAAUACAUGCAAGUCGAACGGUAACAUUUCCCUCGGGAAGAUGACGAGUGGCG
This 101-nucleotide ribosomal RNA is filed under the name Splendidivirga corallicola. Its description in RNAcentral is "partial 16S ribosomal RNA". It matches the Rfam family "Bacterial small subunit ribosomal RNA", at positions 1 to 100 of the family's 1533-position model. The record is from RNAcentral. Lineage: Bacteria; Pseudomonadati; Bacteroidota; Cytophagia; Cytophagales; Splendidivirgaceae.